GACGAACGCUGGCGGCGUGCUUAACACAUGCAAGUCGAACGGUAAGGCUCCAGCUUGCUGGGGUACACGAGUGGCGAACGGGUGAGUAACACGUGGGUGACCUGCCCUGCACUUCGGGAUAAGCCUGGGAAACUGGGUCUAAUACCGGAUAGGACCAUGGUGUGGAUACUGUGGUGGAAAGUUUUUUCGGUGUGGGAUGGGCUCGCGGCUUAUCAGCUUGUUGGUGGGGUAAUGGCCUACUAAGGCGGCGACGGGUAGCCGGCCUGAGAGGGUGGACGGCCACAUUGGGACUGAGAGACGGCCCAGACGCCUACGGGAGGCAGCAGUGGGGAAUAUUGCACAAUGGGCGGAAGCCUGAUGCAGCGACGCCGCGUGGGGGAUGACGGCCUUCGGGUUGUAAACUCAUGUCACCAUCGCCGAAGGGUUUCUGACGGUAGAUGGAGAAGAAGCACCGGCUAACUACGUG
RNAcentral lists this ribosomal RNA (466 nucleotides) under uncultured bacterium. RNAcentral describes it as "partial 16S ribosomal RNA". It matches the Rfam family "Bacterial small subunit ribosomal RNA", at positions 28 to 507 of the family's 1533-position model. The record is from RNAcentral.